UUUGUGAUUGCCGAAACUCAAAGAAAAGAAAUAGGAAAAAAAUUUAGGAACAUUCGGUCACUUGGAAGCUCAAAUUCAAGGUUAAAUAUAGAUCAAGAAACAAAGAGAGCGGAUUUGGAUCGGGGAAAAACGAAAGUAAUCGAAUAGUCGAUCGUGUCCGUUGAUAUCCGAGAUUUUGGAGACACGUUACGAGCUCGGGGAUCGUCAGCAUAGCCUAUCACACUAUCGACUUCUUUUGGUAUUUUGUUAACAGUUUGAACUUGAUCUUAUGGCAUGUAUAGGUUUGAGUAUGAUUUUGGUUAAAUUUGGAUUGUAUAAAAUAAUUAGCCAUGUGAAUAUGGUUUAAUUUCUAUGUUUGUGAUCGGUUUGGUUUUUAAAAAAAAAAUGGUUGUGUCAGUUCGGUAAUGCCUCGUAACCCUAAUUCGACGACGGAUAUGGGUUAGGGGUGUUACAAUGAUUAUUAAAUUAAAGACUUGUUUUUGGCAUCA
Gossypium raimondii (Peruvian cotton) is the source of this 488-nucleotide long non-coding RNA. RefSeq lists it as uncharacterized. The record is from RefSeq and is a predicted model, not a curated record. Lineage: Eukaryota; Viridiplantae; Streptophyta; Magnoliopsida; Malvales; Malvaceae. The transcript is spliced from 3 exons.